CCUACGGGGGGCUGCAGUGGGGAAUAUUGGACAAUGGGGGGAACCCUGAUCCAGCGACGCCGCGUGAGUGAAGAAGUAUUUCGGUAUGUAAAGCUCUAUCAGCAGGGAAGAAAAUGACGGUACCUGACUAAGAAGCCCCGGCUAACUACGUGCCAGCAGCCGCGGUAAUACGUAGGGGGCAAGCGUUAUCCGGAUUUACUGGGUGUAAAGGGAGCGUAGACGGCAGCACAAGUCUGGAGUGAAAUGCCGGGGCUUAACCCCGGAACUGCUUUGGAAACUGUGCAGCUAGAGUGCAGGAGAGGUAAGUGGAAUUCCUAGUGUAGCGGUGAAAUGCGUAGAUAUUAGGAGGAACACCAGUGGCGAAGGCGGCUUACUGGACUGUAACUGACGUUGAGGCUCGAAAGCGUGGGGAGCAAACAGGAUUAGAUACCCCUGUAGUC
This 440-nucleotide ribosomal RNA is filed under the name uncultured bacterium. RNAcentral describes it as "partial 16S ribosomal RNA". It matches the Rfam family "Bacterial small subunit ribosomal RNA", at positions 338 to 795 of the family's 1533-position model. The record is from RNAcentral.